This 504-nucleotide ribosomal RNA is filed under the name uncultured bacterium. RNAcentral describes it as "partial 16S ribosomal RNA". It matches the Rfam family "Bacterial small subunit ribosomal RNA", at positions 355 to 844 of the family's 1533-position model. The record is from RNAcentral.
UGGGGAAUUUUGGACAAUGGGCGAAAGCCUGAUCCAGCAAUGCCGCGUGUGUGAAGAAGGCCUUCGGGUUGUAAAGCACUUUUGUCCGGAAAGAAAAUCCUUGGCUCUAAUACAGUCGGGGGAUGACGGUACCGGAAGAAUAAGCACCGGCUAACUACGUGCCAGCAGCCGCGGUAAUACGUAGGGUGCAAGCGUUAAUCGGAAUUACUGGGCGUAAAGCGUGCGCAGGCGGUUUGCUAAGACCGAUGUGAAAUCCCCGGGCUCAACCUGGGAACUGCAUUGGUGACUGGCAGGCUAGAGUAUGGCAGAGGGGGGUAGAAUUCCACGUGUAGCAGUGAAAUGCGUAGAGAUGUGGAGGAAUACCGAUGGCGAAAGGCAGCCCCCUGGGCCAAAUACUGACGCUCAUGCACGAAAAGCGUGGGGAGCAAAACAGGAUUAGAUACCCUGGUAGUCCACGCCCUAAAACGAAUGUCAAACUAGUUGUUGGGGAUUCAUUUCCUUAGU